Molecule: microRNA precursor, 102 nt
Filed under: Marmota monax (woodchuck)
Lineage: Eukaryota; Metazoa; Chordata; Mammalia; Rodentia; Sciuridae
Source: RNAcentral
CAUGAGAUAGCUGGGUAAAAUGGUGGAUCCAUUCCAAAUUUUCUGAGGUAUCUCUGUGCUGCUUUCCAGAGUGGUUGCACCAUUUGCAGUCCCACAAGCAAU